Molecule: ribosomal RNA, 508 nt
Filed under: uncultured bacterium
Lineage: Bacteria
Description: partial 16S ribosomal RNA
Rfam family: Bacterial small subunit ribosomal RNA
Source: RNAcentral
GACGAACGCUGGCGGCGUGCCUAAUACAUGCAAGUCGAACGCUUCUUUCCUCCCGAGUGCUUGCACUCAAUUGGAAAGAGGAGGGGCGGACGGGUGAGUAACACGUGGGUAACCUACCCAUCAGAGGGGGAUAACACUUGGAAACAGGAGCUAAUACCGCAUAACAGUUUAUGCCGCAUGGCAUAAGAGUGAAAGGCGCUUUCGGGUGUCGUUGAUGGAUGGACCCGCGGUGCAUUAGCUAGUUGGUGAGGUAACGGCUCACCAAGGCCACGAUGCAUAGCCGACCGGAGAGGGUGAUCGGCCACACUGGGACUGAGCCACGGCCCAGACUCCUACGGGAGGCAGCAGUAGGGAAUCUUCGGCAAUGGACGAAAGUCUGACCGAGCAACGCCGCGUGAGUGAAGAAGGUUUUCGGAUCGUAAAACUCUGUUGUUAGAGAAGAACAAGGACGUUAGUAACUGAACGUCCCCUGACGGUAUCUAACCAGAAAGCCACGGCUAACUACGUG